UAUUGCACAAUGGGCGCAAGCCUGAUGCAGCCAUGCCGCGUGUGUGAAGAAGGCCUUCGGGUUGUAAAGCACUUUCAGUCAGGAGGAAAGGUUAGUAGUUAAUACCUGCUAGCUGUGACGUUACUGACAGAAGAAGCACCGGCUAACUCCGUGCCAGCAGCCGCGGUAAUACGGAGGGUGCGAGCGUUAAUCGGAAUUACUGGGCGUAAAGCGUACGCAGGCGGUUUGUUAAGCGAGAUGUGAAAGCCCCGGGCUCAACCUGGGAACUGCAUUUCGAACUGGCAAACUAGAGUGUGAUAGAGGGUGGUAGAAUUUCAGGUGUAGCGGUGAAAUGCGUAGAGAUUUGAAGGAAUACCGAUGGCGAAGGCAGCCACCUGGGUCAACACUGACGCUCAUUACGAAG
This 403-nucleotide ribosomal RNA is filed under the name uncultured bacterium. RNAcentral's name for it is "bacterial SSU rRNA". It matches the Rfam family "Bacterial small subunit ribosomal RNA", at positions 362 to 758 of the family's 1533-position model. The record is from RNAcentral.